RNAcentral lists this ribosomal RNA (408 nucleotides) under uncultured bacterium. Its description in RNAcentral is "partial 16S ribosomal RNA". It matches the Rfam family "Bacterial small subunit ribosomal RNA", at positions 28 to 526 of the family's 1533-position model. The record is from RNAcentral.
GACGAACGCUGGCGGCGUGCUUAACACAUGCAAGUCGAACGCAGUGGCGAACGGGUGAGUAACGCGUAAUCAACCUGCCCUUCAGCGGGGGACAACAGUUGGAAACGACUGCUCAUACCGCAUACUGAAGGAGGGGAUUGCGGCUGAUGAGGUAGUUGGAGGGGUAACGGCCAACCAAGGCGAUGAUCAGUAGCCGGUCUUAGAGGAUGAACGGCCACAUAGGGACGGAGACACGGCCCAUACUCCUACGGGAGGCAGCAGUGGGGAAUCUUCCGCAAUGGACGAAAGUCUGACGGAGCAACGCCGCGUGAGUGAUGACGGCCUUCGGGUUGGAAAGCUCUGUUAAUCGGGACGCGGUACCGGAAUAGAAAGCCACGGCUAACUACGUGCCAGCAGCCGCGGUAAUUC